Molecule: long non-coding RNA, 225 nt
Filed under: Solanum tuberosum (potato)
Lineage: Eukaryota; Viridiplantae; Streptophyta; Magnoliopsida; Solanales; Solanaceae
Description: long non-coding RNA (STUB_LNC010761)
Source: RNAcentral
AAUGAUAUAAUCUGGACAUGAUAUAGAUGCUACAUACUGAAAUAUCUGAAUGCAUGGACCAAAUUCAUAACAUGGUAAAAUUGAAAUACUGACUGUACUGAAAUGGUCAAUGCAAUAGAGUUUUGACUGAACCGUGGGAGCUAUUAAUAACCGAAAAUGAAACCACAUGAGCUAAAUAUGGAGUCCGAUGUAUACGCCACAUCAAGAGGACCCAAUAUACCCGCC